This 406-nucleotide long non-coding RNA is filed under the name Homo sapiens (human). Its description in RNAcentral is "non-protein coding lnc-CLDN10-3:1". Lineage: Eukaryota; Metazoa; Chordata; Mammalia; Primates; Hominidae. The record is from RNAcentral.
GAAGUACAUUUUCUUACUCAGCUAAAGCUGUGGAAAACCACAAAAAUGAAUUUAUUGUUAUUCCUGAACUAGGUGGAGCUCAGUGUGAACCAACAGAACAGAAUCUGGCAAAACUUUUCAGUUAAUACCUAGAGAUCCUAAUAAUCUCUCUGAGGCUCUUCUGACAUUUACCAUUGGGCUCAAAAGUUCCAGCAGAGCUAUUAAAAUGAAACCCAGGGGGAGAGUUGUGGACCCACUGGACAUCUAAGUAAAAUAAGUAUUGGUAUUAGGGAAAAAUUGGGCUCCAUAUCUUUGAGCAAUUACUUCAAGGAAUCCCAUAAUAUAACUUAUGGAGGCCAUUACAGUGGAUGUUAUUACAUGCUGUCACGGAGCUCCAGAAGAGUGGAGUGAAUAUGAAUGCAGCGGU